RNAcentral lists this long non-coding RNA (683 nucleotides) under Nicotiana benthamiana. RNAcentral's name for it is "long non-coding RNA (NBEN_LNC031970)". The record is from RNAcentral. Lineage: Eukaryota; Viridiplantae; Streptophyta; Magnoliopsida; Solanales; Solanaceae.
GCUGCCCUUUUUAUAAUUUAGAACCCAAAGUCGAAUAACAACACCACAUUCACUAUAAGGUUCAGAUAAAAUUAAUAUGCAGUAGUAAAAAUCAACCACAAUUUAAUUUUAACCUAAUCAAAAAUUAGUUGAAGAACAAGUACCAAGGGUUUCAUAGACAUAGGAAAGGCGUACCAGGUACGAUGGGCCAAAAGCAAUUCCAGUAAGCCUUGACUGGUCUUCCCUAGGCCGAUUCUUCAUCAACUCAUCCUGGUUCACCUCAACAAAUUUCUGUGGAACAUCUUUCCUGCCUCUCUUACCAGGCAAUGUCAAUGCAACUUGAGCCGUAUCGGUAACUGCUGAUGCUGAUGCUGUUGUACUUGACCCAUCAGUCCAUUUAUGAUCAUACUGUUCAUAGCCAGUGAAAGUCCCACUAUUGCUGUCAUAGCCAGUGUAAGUACCACUAUUGCUGUCAUAGCCAGGAUAAUUCUCAUAACCACUAGUCCCAUCAUUAGCACAGCUUUCAGGGUCGACAUAACCAUGUCCACCCCAGUUGGAGGAGUAAUCGCCUCCCAGGCAAUGUCAAUGCAACUUCAGCCGUUUCUGUAAUUGCUGAUGCUGAUGCUGUUGUACUAGACCCAUCAGUCCAUUUAUGAUCAUACAGUUCAUAGCCAGUGUAUGUCCCACUAUUGCUGUCAUAGCCA